Molecule: ribosomal RNA, 301 nt
Filed under: uncultured bacterium
Lineage: Bacteria
Description: partial 16S ribosomal RNA
Rfam family: Bacterial small subunit ribosomal RNA
Source: RNAcentral
CAGUCGCCGCGGUAAUACAGAGGAUGCAAGCGUUAUCCGGAAUGAUUGGGCGUAAAGCGUGCGCAGGCGGUUUUGUAAGACAGGCGUGAAAUCCCCGGGCUCAACCUGGGAAUGGCGCUUGUGACUGCAAAGCUAGAGUGCGGCAGAGGGGGAUGGAAUUCCGCGUGUAGCAGUGAAAUGCGUAGAUAUGCGGAGGAACACCGAUGGCGAAGGCAAUCCCCUGGGCCUGCACUGACGCUCAUGCACGAAAGCGUGGGGAGCAAACAGGAUUAGAUACCCCUGUAGUCCCUGUCCCUUAUAC